GUAGGUGGCAAGCGUUGUCCGGAAUUAUUGGGCGUAAAGCGCGCGCAGGCGGGUUCUUUAAGUCUGAUGUGAAAGCCCACGGGCUCAACCGUGGAGGGUCAUUGGAAACUGGAGAACUUGAGUACAGAAGAGGAAAGCGGAAUUCCACGUGUAGCGGUGAAAUGCGUAGAGAUGUGGAGGAACACCAGUGGCGAAGGCGGCUUUCUGGUCCGUAACUGACGCUGGGGCGCGAAAGCGUGGGGAGCAAACAGGAUUAGAUACCCUGGUAGUCCACGCCGUAAACGAUGAGUGCUAAGUGUUAGGGGGUUUCCGCCCCUUAGUGCUGCAGCUAACGCAUUAAGCACUCCGCCUGGGGAGUACGGCCGCAAAGGCUG
This 374-nucleotide ribosomal RNA is filed under the name uncultured organism. RNAcentral's name for it is "partial 16S ribosomal RNA". It matches the Rfam family "Bacterial small subunit ribosomal RNA", at positions 527 to 896 of the family's 1533-position model. The record is from RNAcentral.